CUAUAACUCUGGCCAAUAAGAAGGCAUUGCGUUGCAUUAAAAAUUGCCCAAAAGAUGUGUACGACAUGACGUGCUCUUUUGAUAAACACUGUUACUUUGAGGCAGAAAACAAUUGCACGGUUAAAGUUGAGAUGUGCUUGCGUAAAGUCUAUAAUAAACCAAAGUUUAUUAAAACGAGGAUAGGAUAUUGCCUGAAACAGCACUAUCCAAGUCGAACGAAACGUUGUGUUCCAAUGAUUACAUCCAGUGCACUACCAGUCAAAAAUAGAUGGAUAAGUAACUACCAUGGAAAAUUGUUCGCAACCGAUUAUUGAAUCAAGAUAUUACGCCUUUAAAAUAAAUUACACCUUAACCAAUUGGUUUUU
RNA transcript from Drosophila takahashii, 365 nucleotides. It is a transcript of the gene named Seminal fluid protein 35C, with no coding region annotated. Lineage: Eukaryota; Metazoa; Arthropoda; Insecta; Diptera; Drosophilidae. The record is from RefSeq and is a predicted model, not a curated record.